CAGCAUGGUCUUAGCUUGCUAAGGCCGAUGGCGACCGGCGCACGGGUGAGUAACACGUAUCCAACCUGACGUCUACUCUUGGACAGCCUUCUGAAAGGAAGAUUAAUACAAGAUGGCAUCAUGAGUCCGCAUGUUCACAUGAUUAAAGGUAUUCCGGUAGACGAUGGGGAUGCGUUCCAUUAGAUAGUAGGCGGGGUAACGGCCCACCUAGUCUUCGAUGGAUAGGGGUUCUGAGAGGAAGGUCCCCCACAUUGGAACUGAGACACGGUCCAAACUCCUACGGAAGGCAGCAGUGAGGAAUAUUGGUCAAUGGGCGAGAGCCUGAACCAGCCAAGUAGCGUGAAGGAUGACUGCCCUAUGGGUUGUAAACUUCUUUUAUAAAGGAAUAAAGUCGGGUAUGGAUACCCGUUUGCAUGUACUUUAUGAAUAAGGAUCGGCUAACUCCGUGCCAGCAGCCGCGGUAAUACGGAGGAUCCGAGCGUUAUCCGGAUUUAUUGGGUUUAAAGGGAGCGUAGAUGGAUGUUUAAGUCAGUUGUGAAAGUUUGCGGCUCAACCGUAAAAUUGCAGUUGAUACUGGAUAUCUUGAGUGCAGUUGAGGCAGGCGGAAUUCGUGGUGUAGCGGUGAAAUGCUUAGAUAUCACGAAGAACUCCGAUUG
RNAcentral lists this ribosomal RNA (656 nucleotides) under uncultured Bacteroides sp. RNAcentral's name for it is "bacterial SSU rRNA". It matches the Rfam family "Bacterial small subunit ribosomal RNA", at positions 67 to 715 of the family's 1533-position model. The record is from RNAcentral. Lineage: Bacteria; Pseudomonadati; Bacteroidota; Bacteroidia; Bacteroidales; Bacteroidaceae.